This 442-nucleotide ribosomal RNA is filed under the name uncultured bacterium. RNAcentral's name for it is "partial 16S ribosomal RNA". It matches the Rfam family "Bacterial small subunit ribosomal RNA", at positions 338 to 795 of the family's 1533-position model. The record is from RNAcentral.
CCUACGGGUGGCUGCAGUGGGGAAUAUUGCGCAAUGGGCGCAAGCCUGACCCAGCAAUGCCGCGUGAAGGAAGAAGGCUUUCGGGUUGUAAACUUCUUUGACAGGGGACGAGCAGUAGACGGUACCCUGAAAACAAGCCACGGCUAACUACGUGCCAGCAGCCGCGGUAAUACGUAGGUGGCAAGCGUUGUCCGGAUUUACUGGGUGUAAAGGGCGUGUAGCCGGGAAGGCAAGCCAGAAGUGAAAUCCGGGGGCUGAACCUCCGAAUUGCAUUUGAACUUGGUUUUCUUGAGUGUUGGAGAGGCAGGCGGAAUUCCUGGUGUAGCGGUGAAAUGCGUAGAUAGAAGGAGGAACACCAGUGGCGAAGGCGGUCUGCUGGACAGCAACUGACGGUGAGGCGCGAAAGCGUGGGGAGCAAACAGGAUUAGAUACCCGAGUAGUC